RNAcentral lists this long non-coding RNA (244 nucleotides) under Mytilus galloprovincialis (Mediterranean mussel). The record is from RNAcentral. Lineage: Eukaryota; Metazoa; Mollusca; Bivalvia; Mytilida; Mytilidae.
GUCACAAAAUUCCUCCGAAACAUAAAUAUUGGACGGUACACCAGACAAAAUCAACCAACACCAUUCAAUAAAUAUUGGACGGUACACCAGACAAAACCAACCAACAUCAGUCAAUUCCUCCGAAACAUAAAUAUUGGACGGUACACCAGACAAAACCAACCAACGUCAUUAAAUUCCUCCGAAACAUAAAUAUUGGACGGUACACCAGACAAAACCAACCAACGUCAUAAAAUUCCUCCGAAAC